ACUAUCUAUCGCCGACACUCUUAUUUUUUUAGAGAGAAACAUAACACACCAUCCAAUUCGCUUUUUUCUUUUAAAAAUAAAUUUAGUUCGAAAUGUGAAGUAAUUAGGUUUCGAACUUGAAAUCUUGAGUAUCAAGUAUCAACCACUAAAUCCUUUGUCACUUGCGUUAGGGAUGACCAGACACUCUAAUUAGAUUGUAAAUGAGCUUUAGCAUUUUACACUAAUAAUUUGAAUCCAACAAAUAAUUUGU
This 250-nucleotide long non-coding RNA is filed under the name Ananas comosus (pineapple). RNAcentral describes it as "long non-coding RNA (ACOM_LNC020371)". Lineage: Eukaryota; Viridiplantae; Streptophyta; Magnoliopsida; Poales; Bromeliaceae. The record is from RNAcentral.